UUUUGACAAAGGAGAUGACUACUCUGUGUUUUGAAGGGUUUUUUCCCUCCUUCCCCUCUUCUUUUUUCUACAGCAAUUGUGGGUCCACCCAAGCUGUCCUGGAUGCUCCAGGGUCACAACCUUAGCAUAAGCCUCAUUAUGCCACUCACUCCAUACCGAAAUGAAAAUGGCUCUUACAAGCCAGUCAACGAAGUGCUGUGGACACUGCAGUACCAGCUGAACCUUUAUGAAGAGGACGUGCUUGUCCAGCAAGUGCACUGUGAACAGAGAAGCAAGGAAGCUCCUUGCAUGUUUAGGUACUUGAAACCAAGUACCCAGUACUGUGUCCGGACUGUGAUGGUGAGGAUGCCCAGGGAACGGAGCAGGGAGGCUGCACAGUGCAUUACAACACCAGCCACCCCUGGAGGUGAGAGCUCUCUAGCUGUCUCAGCUGCUGUACUUCCAUCUCAGGGCCCUGAUUCAGAGCGUGAACACAUGUCAGAGGGAGAGGGACGCACAGUUUCUGGUCAGGUUUGGUGACCCAGCAGGACCCUUUUGGGACCCUCCUCCUCUUCUCUUGGAGGACUAAGUUCUCUUGCCAUCUAACUUUGUCUUGCCCUGCACCUCCUGCUUGGAUUGUCCCAGCCUGCCAUGGGACCCCCAAGGAAGAGCUGGCUUAGGGCACGCUGUUGGGGAUGCAAAGUGGGGGGUUCCUCCAACUCUCAACCUGUUAUGACCCCCCUGCAGACUUUCCAUGGGUCCUCCUCGUCGUACUGAGCGCUGUCUUGCUGGUGCUGUGUGUGGCCGGGCUCUGCUUCCUCAGACUAUUUGUGUUCUUGAGACCCUCGGAGACACGCAUCCCAAACUCGCUUGCUAUUUUGAAUGAGGAGCUGACUGUGAACAUCAGGGUGCCCACUCUUGAACUUGAGGGGGACUCACUCACUCUACUCUCGCUGGCUGUGCUUCCCUCCCCUGGACCCUCUGCAGCUGAACAGAAAAAGCCCCAAGUCCAGCAGCUUCUUGGAGAAAGCUUUCCACAGGAGAUGGGUGGCUACUGUGCCAAUGGAUUUAGGCCAAACUGCCCCGAAAGCAAGGUCCUGUCCUUUGCCCCCAGCCAGCUGGGGCAUGUCUUGGACUCUGGGGCCUCCUCACCCCUGGAGGGGCUGGGAGAGGACAGGGAAGCGUGUAAUAGGGAUGAUGUGUUGGCUUUGCCAGUCCAACUGCCCCAUGGUUCAUGGGCGUGUUUGGAGCAGCCAAUGCUGGUGGAACUGAAUGGCAACAGUUACAGGGAUGACGAAGACUGCCAGACAUCUGAGAUGUGGCUUUCUUUGCACCUCCAGCUUUAUUCUAAAUGCCAAUGCCCACUCUUGGGAGUGGGCAGCAGCCUCUCUCUGACUCCACAGGACACAAGUUUCAGCCAGGAGGACCUAAAGGAAAGCGUUGGCACAGCAGAGCCCUGCUGCCAGCCCGGCGUACCGCUCAGCUCUGUGAAGCUGCCAGGCAGUGAGGAAGACAGAGGACACCUUUUCCCUGCUCUCUGUCACCUGCAUGGCCAUGGGGCUGAGUCAGAGUUGGGUGACAGCAACACACAGCAGAGUGACUUGGAUCAGGCAACAUUGGGCUGGCAAAGCAUCCCUCUCCCCAGUUCCUGCGAAGUGCCCUAUUCACCCCUCAACAGCCUGAGGGCAGCCACAUCCUCUGGCUAUGAGAUGCAUCCCCUGGUCACUGAUGAGCCCUAGUGUAAAGAAGUGUAACAGGAGAGCAGGGCUCUCCCAGAUGCACGACUGCCCUUGAGAGCCAGAUUGCAGCCUUAAUGAGUAACUCCAAUGGAGCAAGGAACAUUACCCAAAGCUGACCCAACUGUGAUGGACUGCCUGCUCAGACAUGUGUGUGCCUCUUUGGGGAUGGGACUAGGCCAAGCUUCCUGGGCAGACAGGCUCCAGCGUGCUCUGGGACUGACUGCCAUAGAAAGACAGUGAGGUCAGCAUCUUUUGAGUUUCCCUGUCAGUUUUUGGUCCUUCAUAUAUAUAUGUAUGUAUAUGUAUAUAUAUGUGUGUAUAUGUGUGUGUGUACAUAUAUAUACUUAUAUAAAUAUAUAUUUUUAUAUAUAAACUUCUUCCAUUAUGUUAAAUAGUUUUUUUUUUUUUUUUUGCUUGGCUGCUGUGG
Molecule: long non-coding RNA, 2145 nt
Organism: Struthio camelus australis
Lineage: Eukaryota; Metazoa; Chordata; Aves; Struthioniformes; Struthionidae
Source: Ensembl